AAAAGAAAAGAAAAGAAAAGAAGAAAGAGAUAAACCUAAGAUUAAGCUGACCAAUCAUGACAUUUGUUAUAAGCCAUCUUUAGGUCCUCCAGCUGCACUUUGGAUUUUUCUAGAAGCUCUUGCCCCAAUCACAAAACCAAAACUUCAUUUUCAGAUUCCAUUUGAUUGCUUAUAAAUGGAGAUAUUGACUGAUUAAGAUUGCAAUAACACCCCUUUUAUUUCAUCUAACUUUCUGUUUCCUUCUAAUUGGUUACAAAAGCUGCUGCUUUUUUUUUUUUUAAAUUGAUUUCGGCUGAAAUUGGAAUUUGAAACUUUACCGCAGCUUUAUUUUUUUAUCCCACUUAUUGAGAUCGCCAGUACCUGGCCAUUUCAAACCCAUUUUUGCAAUAGUGGUAGUCCUCAAUUGUUUGCUCAAUUUCAGCUUGUGUGUUCAUCACAAAAGGUCCAUGCUGAACCACUGGUUCAUUGAUCGGUUGCCCAGCGAUUAGUACGAAUCUCAAUGGCUUGGAAGACCUAUUCCAUACGCUUAAACCAUCUCCAGUACCCAAAACCAGAACAUGGUGAGCAGUUGCUUGGGAAGAAUUUCUCAAGCCAAAGGCUCCCUCACCUUCAAUGACAUAAACAAAUGCAUUCCACGAUUCUGGAACGGUUUGGUGGACUUGAGCUCUUGGCUUCAGAGUGAAAUCCAGAAACAUU
This 696-nucleotide unclassified non-coding RNA is filed under the name Hevea brasiliensis (rubber tree). Lineage: Eukaryota; Viridiplantae; Streptophyta; Magnoliopsida; Malpighiales; Euphorbiaceae. The record is from RNAcentral.